This 77-nucleotide transfer RNA is filed under the name Empedobacter falsenii. RNAcentral describes it as "tRNA-Met". It matches the Rfam family "tRNA". From Rfam's summary of the family: Transfer RNA (tRNA) molecules are approximately 80 nucleotides in length. Their secondary structure includes four short double-helical elements and three loops (D, anti-codon, and T loops). Further hydrogen bonds mediate the characteristic L-shaped molecular structure. tRNAs have two regions of fundamental functional importance: the anti-codon, which is responsible for specific mRNA codon recognition, and the 3' end, to which the tRNAs corresponding amino acid is attached (by aminoacyl-tRNA synthetases). tRNAs cope with the degeneracy of the genetic code in two manners: having more than one tRNA (with a specific anti-codon) for a particular amino acid; and 'wobble' base-pairing, i.e. permitting non-standard base-pairing at the 3rd anti-codon position. The record is from RNAcentral. Lineage: Bacteria; Pseudomonadati; Bacteroidota; Flavobacteriia; Flavobacteriales; Weeksellaceae. RNAcentral also lists the same sequence under 3 other names.
GGUCCUAUAACUCAGUUGGUUAGAGUAGCUGACUCAUAAUCAGCAAGUCCUUGGUUCGAGCCCAAGUGGGACCACAA